This 321-nucleotide small nuclear RNA is filed under the name Microtus ochrogaster (prairie vole). Its description in RNAcentral is "7SK RNA (ENSMOCG00000008044.1)". It matches the Rfam family "7SK RNA". From Rfam's summary of the family: 7SK was discovered as an abundant small nuclear RNA in the mid-70s but a possible function has only recently been suggested. The record is from RNAcentral. Lineage: Eukaryota; Metazoa; Chordata; Mammalia; Rodentia; Cricetidae.
AGAGGUGAGAGCAAUAUGACUGUGACAUCUAUCACCCUGUUGAUUGCCAGGGUUGGCUUGAUCUGCUCUUCUGGCGGCCCAAGUGGAUGUCCCCUUCCUCCAUCAACCUCUCCACAUGUGCUGAAUUUGCGUCGUCAGUGGGGAAAGGUGAGCUUCCUCCAUCGAGGAAGACCAUUCUCCAGUCAAGGAUAGAGGAGCCAUGCUCACCUGCUAGGACCACCAGAAAAUCUCUGAUGGUCCUUUUACAGGAGAACAGGGGUGCUUAGGGUUCCAGAGAGACAUAUCCAGAUGAGGGGCUGUGCCUGGUGGUAUCUGUGGCUU